CUGGCGGCGUGCUUACCUUGCUAGUCGAGCGUGAAGGCCCUUCGGGGUACUCGAGCGGCGAACGGGUGAGUAACACGUGAGUAACCUGCCCCAGACUUUGGGAUAACCCUCGGAAACGGGGGCUAAUACCGAAUAUGACUGCCGGCCGCAUGGUUGGUGGUGGAAAGUUUUUCGGUUUGGGAUGGACUCGCGGCCUAUCAGCUUGUUGGUGAGGUAAUGGCUCACCAAGGCGAGGACGGGUAGCCGGCCUGAGAGGGCGACCGGCCACACUGGGACUGAGACACGGCCCAGACUCCUACGGGAGGCAGCAGUGGGGAAUAUUGCACAAUGGGCGGAAGCCUGAUGCAGCGACGCCGCGUGAGGGAUGACGGCCUUCAGGUUGUAAACCUCUUUCAGCAGGGACGAUGCGCAAGUGACGGUACCUGCAGAAGAAGCGCCGGCCAACUACGUGCCAGCAGCCGCGGUUAA
This 468-nucleotide ribosomal RNA is filed under the name uncultured bacterium. RNAcentral's name for it is "bacterial SSU rRNA". It matches the Rfam family "Bacterial small subunit ribosomal RNA", at positions 36 to 524 of the family's 1533-position model. The record is from RNAcentral.